Molecule: ribosomal RNA, 440 nt
Filed under: uncultured bacterium
Lineage: Bacteria
Description: partial 16S ribosomal RNA
Rfam family: Bacterial small subunit ribosomal RNA
Source: RNAcentral
CCUACGGGUGGCAGCAGUAGGGAAUAUUGCUCAAUGGGGGAAACCCUGAAGCAGCAACGCCGCGUGGAGGAUGAAGGUUUUCGGAUCGUAAACUUCUAUUGUCAGAGAAGAUAAUGACGGUAUCUAACGAAUAAGCACCGGCUAACUCCGUGCCAGCAGCCGCGGUAAUACGGAGGGUGCAAGCGUUACACGGAAUUACUGGGCGUAAAGAGCGCGUAGGCGGGAUAGCAAGUCAGAUGUGAAAUCCUAUGGCUUAACCACAGAACUGCAUUUGAAACUGUUAGUCUGGAGUGUAGGAGAGGUAGGUGGAAUUCUUGGUGUAGGGGUGAAAUGCGUAGAGAUCAAGAGGAAUACUCAUUGCGAAGGCGACCUGCUAGAACGUAACUGACGCUGAGGCGCGAAAGCGUGGGGAGCAAACAGGAUUAGAUACCCUUGUAGUC